GACGAACGCUGGCGGCGUGCUUAACACAUGCAAGUCGAACGAUGAAGCAAAGAAUCGAUGCUUCGGCAGAAAUUCAUUUCGGAUUAGUGGCAGACGGGUGAGUAACGCGUGAGCAACCUACCUCUUACAAAGGGAUAGCCUCGGGAAACCGGGAUUAAUACCAUAUAACAUUGCGACGAAGCAUUUCGAUGCAAUCAAAGCUACGGCGGUAAGAGAUGGGCUCGCGUCCCAUUAACCGGAUGGUGAGGUAACGGCUCACCAUAGUGACGAUGGGUAACCGGCAUGAGAGGGUGAACGGUCACACUGGAACUGAGACACAGUCCAGACUCCUACGGGAGGCAGCAGUAGGGAAUAUUGCACAAUGGAGGGAACUCUGAUGAAGCGACGCCGGGUAAGAGGUGAAGGGAUUCGUUUCGUAAAUCUCUGUUCUAUGGGAAGAAAAGGACUGUACCAGAGGAGAAAGCGCCGGCUAAAUACGUG
This 480-nucleotide ribosomal RNA is filed under the name uncultured bacterium. Its description in RNAcentral is "partial 16S ribosomal RNA". It matches the Rfam family "Bacterial small subunit ribosomal RNA", at positions 28 to 507 of the family's 1533-position model. The record is from RNAcentral.